CGCCGAAUACUGAGUGACUAGAGUGCGGGAGAGGAAAGUGGAAUUCCUGGUGUAGCGGUGAAAUGCGUAGAUAUCAGGAGGAACACCGGUGGUGUAGACGGCUUUCUGGACCGUAACUGACGCUGAGACACGAAAGCGUGGGUAGCAAACAGGAUUAGAUACCCUGGUAGUCCACGCCCUAAACGAUGCAUAUUUGGUGUGGGCAGUUCAUUCUGUCCGUGCCGGAGCUAACGCGUUAAAUAUGCCGCCUGGGGAGUACAGUCGCAAGGCUGAAACUCAAAGGAAUUGACGGGGGCCCGCACAAGCGGUGGAGCAUGUGGUUCAAUUCGACGCAACGCGAAGAACCUUACCUGGGCUCGAACGGCUGGUCAACGGCGGUGGAAACAUCGCUACCCCGCAAGGGGGUCCAGUCGAGGUGCUGCAUGGCUGUCGUCAGCUCGUGUCGUGAGAUGUUGGGUUAAGUCCCGCAACGAGCGCAACCCUUGUCCUGUGUU
RNAcentral lists this ribosomal RNA (494 nucleotides) under uncultured bacterium. Its description in RNAcentral is "bacterial SSU rRNA". It matches the Rfam family "Bacterial small subunit ribosomal RNA", at positions 624 to 1116 of the family's 1533-position model. The record is from RNAcentral.